Molecule: ribosomal RNA, 301 nt
Filed under: uncultured bacterium
Lineage: Bacteria
Description: partial 16S ribosomal RNA
Rfam family: Bacterial small subunit ribosomal RNA
Source: RNAcentral
CAGUAGCCACGGGAAUACGAAGGGGGCUAGCGUUGCUCGGAAUUACUGGGCGUAAAGGGAGCGUAGGCGGACAUUUAAGUCAGGGGUGAAAUCCCAGAGCUCAACUCUGGAACUGCCUUUGAUACUGGGUGUCUUGAGUGUGAUAGAGGUAUGUGGAACUCCGAGUGUAGAGGUGAAAUUCGUAGAUAUUCGGAAGAACACCAGUGGCGAAGGCGACAUACUGGAUCAUUACUGACGCUGAGGCUCGAAAGCGUGGGGAGCAAACAGGAUUAGAUACCCGGGUAGUCCCUGUCUCUUAUAC